RNAcentral lists this ribosomal RNA (106 nucleotides) under Natrinema salaciae. RNAcentral describes it as "partial 23S rRNA. Archaeal LSU". It matches the Rfam family "Archaeal large subunit ribosomal RNA", at positions 2870 to 2975 of the family's 2987-position model. Lineage: Archaea; Methanobacteriati; Methanobacteriota; Halobacteria; Halobacteriales; Natrialbaceae. The record is from RNAcentral.
AAAGAGAUACCACUGAGGCCACUCGUAGAAGACGAGUUCGAUAGACUCGGGAUGUACGCACCAAGGCAACGAGGUGUUGAGUCCGCGAGCACUAACUGGCCAAGCC